Belonocnema kinseyi is the source of this 753-nucleotide long non-coding RNA. RefSeq lists it as uncharacterized. The record is from RefSeq and is a predicted model, not a curated record. The transcript has 2 exons. NCBI's taxonomy places the organism in Eukaryota, Metazoa, Arthropoda, Insecta, Hymenoptera, Cynipidae.
CUUUUCUGAAACAGAAGGAAAUUUCCCUGAGUGUUUAAAUAUUUAUAAUGAAAGAUAUUAUUCCUUAAUAUCUAUUUCUUAAUAACUAGAAAUUUUCGAUUUAAUCAUCUAUAUCGUUGUCCCAUAGUCAAUAUUUCAAGGUUACACAUGGUAACAUCUAAUGUAAUUCUAUUAGUGACAAUGUUGACUAUUUGUGAGUGAAAAUAUGGAAAUAUAUUCAGCGCUGAUACAUUAAUUUGAAGAAAGUUAUAGCAAAAUAGGAUGGCGAAUAGAAAGAAGAAGCUACAAGUUCACCGGAGAAGCAGCCGAUCAUUUCCUACCUUGUUAAUCUUCGACAUUACGAAGGUUAUCGAGGUUUGGUUAUGAACUUACCAGAACGCCAUUUUCUAGUAGCAGUAGAGGGUCAAUGGAUCAUUGGAGCAGUUUUAGAAUAUGCACUUUUGCAUCCAUUCCUGGCUCUCAUAGAUGGUCAAUAUAAAAGAGUUAAGGUUAACAAAAAUACCCUAAAAAAUGUAGCAAUACCGAAGAGUUCUGUUUUGAAUAGACGGUACCUCCAACAGUACUGGUACGAAUCAAAAAACCUGUUUUAUGCCGAGCCACUCCAUAUACACAUUGGAAUUCAUCGGAUUCUUCGCGAUUCUGCUCGUUCUUCAAAUUUGAGAUUGCAUUAAAAGGGAAACAUUUUUGUCCAACCUAAAUCAUACCAAUAAGUUCUUUGAAUAAAUAGAGGAUUUUAUGUUACUUUUAUAUUUU